RNAcentral lists this transfer RNA (68 nucleotides) under Staphylinidae sp. BMNH 1274217. RNAcentral's name for it is "tRNA-Glu". It matches the Rfam family "tRNA". Rfam says of the family: Transfer RNA (tRNA) molecules are approximately 80 nucleotides in length. Their secondary structure includes four short double-helical elements and three loops (D, anti-codon, and T loops). The record is from RNAcentral. Lineage: Eukaryota; Metazoa; Arthropoda; Insecta; Coleoptera; Staphylinidae.
AUUUAUAUAGUUUAAAAAUAAAACAUUACAUUUUCACUGUAAAAAUAAAGACCUCCCUUUUAUAAAUA